Molecule: long non-coding RNA, 535 nt
Organism: Anopheles arabiensis
Lineage: Eukaryota; Metazoa; Arthropoda; Insecta; Diptera; Culicidae
Exons: 3
Source: RefSeq, a predicted model, not a curated record
CAUAUCCAGAUCAUUAUUGAUUCUUUUCUGAAUUUUUCUAAAAUUUCACCCUUUAAGUAACUGUAAAAGCAUCGUCUAGCUUUGAACGCCAUGUGCCGAUACAUCCAUGAAUCAUCUAAUUACCUGUAACCCAGCGUUAGCGUGCCUACGUGCGCUUUUGCAUCAAUCUUGCUGCUUGCAGCAACGAAAGAAGAAGUUAAAACCUCAUUGAACAAUAUCAAUAACAAUUUCCCGAUAGCAAUAUCGGAAAAAAUGUAGAACAAAUUCGGCAACUGAAGCGUUCGGAGUGUUUCAGAGCUGCACCGAGGCGCAACAUGCUGACCCUUUCAGGUGCUCCAGUGUUCAACAUAUCAGGCCGCACCUUAUCAAAUGUAUCGUUCGUUCGGGGUGAUAGUAACCAGAAUUGGUGUGGUGCAGUUCAAUUUGAUUAACCAAUUUCAUCUUUACGGGUGAUAAGCAAACGCCGAAUGCUUGCGAGCGUGCUCCUCUCAGAGUUAUUACAAGUCAAUUAGAAAAUAUUUUUCUUUUCAAAAAU